This is an RNA transcript of Prosopis cineraria, 1142 nucleotides long. It is a transcript of the gene named cyclin-dependent kinase C-2-like, with no coding region annotated. NCBI's taxonomy places the organism in Eukaryota, Viridiplantae, Streptophyta, Magnoliopsida, Fabales, Fabaceae. The transcript is spliced from 5 exons. The record is from RefSeq and is a predicted model, not a curated record.
AUCGCAAGAGGCUAUAGAAUCGUAAAACCUAGAAACCCAGACGAUCCAGCAAGCUUAUCGGCCACAAUGCUGCGGACAUAAUCGUGAUAGCCUGCAUUGAAGCGUUCGAAUCGUUGUUGAGAGAGCAGAGAUGGUUCAUGGAGUCAACUGAAUUGCUCGCAUUUGAUUCAUCGUGCCGCUAAUAUCGUUUGGUUGAACUCUUCACUCUUCCCAAUUCUCUAUUUCAUCGAUCCAGAUACCUCAUUCUUCCCAAUUCAAUUCCUUAAACACCACUCCGCUGCAUAUGACGUUGCCUUUCUCGAAAGGUGUCGACUUUGUUUCAUUCCAACGUUAUUGCGCUUCUGGUAUGUCGUUUUUCUCCAACUGUUUCGGUGGUGAAAAGCCCUGAUCGACCAUCUUUUAUUGCACUUCUGGAGCAAUGGCUAUCGCGGCCCCUGGGCAGCUGAACCUUAAUGAGUAUCUUCAUAGGGAAGUGUUGAUUGCUUCAAAAUGUUGGAGCAGAUUGGCGAGGGAACUUAUGGAUGGUAACAAAUAUAAAGAUGGUAUCUAUAUGGUAUUUGAAUACAAGGACCAUGAUUUGAUUGAUCUUGCAGAUCGACCUGGAAUGAGAUUUACAGCUCCAAAGCAAGCUUUUGACGGGGCUUCAUUAUUGCCAUGUGAAUCAAGUACUUCAUCGUGAUAUAAAAGGCUCCAAUCUUCUUAUAGACAAUGAAGGCAAUCUGAAGCUUGUAGAUUUUGGACUUUCACAAUCAUUUUCUAAAGACCACAAUGCAAAUCACCUCCUAGAAGCUCCCAAAACAAAUCCUAGUAGUCCCAAUGUUGUGCUCCCUCAAGUUCUCCCGUUUUCUUCCUAUCUGUUCAGCCCCCGAUCAUGUUUGAUUUAACUAAACUUUGCAUUGUCUGUUGUGACGCAUAGUGCAUUUGUUGUGGCAGAUGGUAUAGAGGCCCAACUCAUGAUUUAGGUCCUUCACUUGGGCUCAGUCGGCCAAAUAUCCAUCAUAGCCCAAUCUUAAGGUUGUCUAACAUUCCAAUAAGUCCAUUAGUGAUUCAAAAGCAUGAUUAACUUAACUAAUAACCAAUUUUCUAAUUUACCUUCAAUUAUCUCAUAAAUCUCAGAUUAAAAUUUUUUGAGAUAUUACAUA